UGUAUACCUCCGUCGAAAACUUACCAUUUGAAUGCCCUAAAGUAAGUUUAAUAGGCCUCAUACGCCAAUACGUCAGGUCAAGGUGCAGCCUAUAAAAUGGAAAGCAAUGGGCUACAAUUUUUAACAUAAAACAAACGAAAAACUACAUGAAACAUAGUCAUGAAGGAGGAUUUAGUAGUAAAAGAAGAACAGCAAACUUCUUU
RNAcentral lists this ribosomal RNA (203 nucleotides) under Gephyromantis schilfi. RNAcentral describes it as "partial 12S ribosomal RNA". The record is from RNAcentral. Lineage: Eukaryota; Metazoa; Chordata; Amphibia; Anura; Mantellidae.